AGCCCGACCCAGGGCUCGAACCCAUGGACUGUGAGAUCAUGACCUGAGCUCACUCAAGUCGGACGCUUAAACAACGGAGCCACCGAGGCGCCCCCCCCCUUCCUGCCUCUAUAAAUACAACAUGCAUAAUUAGUAAUGCUUGGCAGAAAAAGAGACAUAAAAUAAAAAUAAAAAUCAUAUCUUAAUUUUUUUGAAACUUCAAAAUGAGUACUAUUUUAUUUGGACUUCCUUCUUACGGUCCAAAGGUUUUCUUCUCAUCCAUUAAGGAAUCAAAAAUUGACUCUCUACUUUAGCUUUCAUUCCUUCUUAAACAUUGCCUUUAAUUCCCUGAUGGCCGCCUGUCCACUAAAGACAUUGGAAUGUGACACACUCCAGGUUUCCAGCGAUAUUUCAAAUAUUUUCUUAAAAACAAUUUUCAUUUUGGCGAGACUCGGAAUCCAUGAACACGUUCUGUUAUGCGUUCUCUUACUGUUUAUAUAUAAAAAAAACUAAUCUUCCUUCUGUUUUACACUUCUGUUUGUGCUCUAUGUUAUUUGUCUCUGGCUGCUGUGAAACAAAUUCUGUUUUAAAAAAGAGUAAGUCCUAUCUCCUUCCUCAAUAACAUCUGGGAAAUCUGCUAUUAUGAACUCUUUUUUUUUCUCGAAGGAAUACAAAGGGCCUUGAAAAUACAUAUUGUUAUGUGUACAUGAAGAGAGGAAAGGCCUUCAAACAUUCCUAUGAUUCCCUCCAGGGUCGUUAGGAGGCAUGGUUGUGAGCACAAGAUUGUAACCUUCCCAGGAGAGAAGGUAUAAAAAAGCCAGGCCUUAGAAAACGGUGGAGGAUGAUCUCUCCGCUGAACCUGGAACUUUGCUUAUGUGAAUAACGAACACUCCUCCUUUGUGCGACUGAAUACGUGUGACAGGGAAGAAGCCGCCCGGCACGGGUCCACGUGCACCUGCUUGGUUUUCAUUAUUUUCCGCCAGGGGAAAUGUACGAUUUCCCCACAGCAGGGAGGCCCGCGAUUGUGACACACGGGCUCCCGGAUGCCGUCGGGAGGCUUCCUGAGGAGGCCUCGUGGCUGUGACACGGGAGGCCCCGCCGCGGGCAGCGCCCGUCCUCUGCUUCUCUCUGGCUGUGAGGUUGCAGGUGGGCGGCUGGCGGGGGGGCCGGUGGCCGCGGCACCUGCAGGGUCGGCGCCCGGGGCUCAGCUGCGGGCCAAGGCGGAGCUCCGCCGGGCCAGGUCCCUGCUCUGGCUCCACCCAGAAGUUGGACUCAUGAAGGAAAGCCUGCCCCUGCCUCCCGUGAACCCUCUGUCUCCAUCCAGCCCAGAAUGCCCCGCGAAGGCACGAGUCCUCUGAGAAGCAGAGCAGCCGAAGGGAGAGUGUGUCCUUGAUGAUGCCGAGAGGCUGAAACCUUGACAUUUUCCUGCGGUCGAGUUGUCUCCCCGUUUCCAGAGGUGGUGCGUCCACAGGGCUGGCGUGGGGUGUUCUGGGCACACCCGCCGCCUAAGGAUGCCCCUCCCCUGCCUGUGGUGGGGGGUCCGGGAGGAUCAUGGCAGGAAUGGCAACUGUGUGAGAGCCGGAACCCCCUCUGUCUGUCUGUCUGCUGUUGGAUUCCUGCUCUGAGGACAGAGUCGGUUCUUGAUCUGCAUUCGUUGAGUCACUGAAGGGCUGGGAAGAACAAUAGAAUGGAAUCUUAAGAAUUCUGAAAUUGGAAUCCUGGAACAUUCGAGUCAGAAGGAGCCCUUGGAAAUCGCUUAGUCAAACCCAUUCCCUUUGCAAUUUCGUGAACCGAGUCUCAGGAGGACAAGUGAUUUGCUUCACAUCUGAGGCCCCGGGGCUGCUGCUCGGUUAGAGGGACCCGCGUAGCCCGCUGUGCUGUGUGCACCGGCUGAGGGGAGGCUCUCGGGACUUCUCCUCCCCUGACACACGGCCGAGGACAGUAGGGACAGGUGGCACAAAUAGGCCAGAGGACACAUGAUGAGAAGAAGUGGGUUCUGAGGAGACAGAGCUGGGGGGCGGGGGGGACGGGGGCCCAGAAAGGCUCCCCGAGCGCGAGCAGGUCGAAUGGCCCGAGGGCAGGUGAACCCCACAUGUGAGGCUCUUCGGCAAGAACGGGGUGAGGCCCGUCCCUCCAGUCCCUCAGGACUGCCCGGCUCAGCCAGAAUGCACGUCAGACCAUGUGCUCCCUCCUGGAAGCUUCUGCUGGCUUCUGUAUCCGUUUCCUAGGGCUGCCUUGACAAGUCGCCACAAACCAGGGGCUCCAAACCACAGAGAGCGGUCUUCUCCCAGUUUGGGGGGACAGAAGUCCGGAACCACGGGGUUGGCGGGGCUGGUGCGUCUGGCGGCUCCGAGGGGGCCCCUGCCCCUUGCCUCCAGCUCGGCCACGAGGACGAGGACUCAGACUCUCGUCCUCUGUGCAUCUCGGGACCUAGAGCUGGCCUGGCCCAGCGAGGGCGGAUCUGAGCCCCUGAGUGUGUGUCCCCCGGACCCUCGGACGGCCUGCGGGGCCCCUGAGGAGCACGAGGAGGAGGGGCGGGCAGGUUCGGGGCAGGGUCCCCAGGGCCCGGCUCCCGCCUCACAUCUGAAGGUCACAUUGGGCUUCUGCUGACGGGUGGACAGAGGCAGUGAGACGGAGCAAACGGAACAAGUCAAGACGACCCCAAGGACUUGGUCUGAGCAGCUGGAGAAAUGGGGCACCUGGUGAGUCGGGGGAGGGGCGUCUCAGGAGGAGCCCGCAGGGCAGGGAGGGGCCGAGAUGCAGGGAGACCAGGCCGGUGCUGAGCCGCCAGGUGGAACCUUCCGGAGAGGACGGGGCCUGAGCCCCCUCGCCCCAGGCUCAAGAGCUUCCUUCGUGGGAGCUGGAGGAAGACCACCUGCGUCGUCACGGAGCAGGGGAGGCCAGCCAGACCCUGCACUUGUGUCUCCCUCUGAGGGACAAAGGUCAGUGUCACAGCAGUCAGCUCUGAUGCUGGCUCUGGGCCAAGACCCUUAAUAUUCCAUGAGAACUGUGCACUGAUGAAAUUUUCAUUAAAGAAACAUUAUCCCUUUCA
Molecule: long non-coding RNA, 3031 nt
Organism: Felis catus (domestic cat)
Lineage: Eukaryota; Metazoa; Chordata; Mammalia; Carnivora; Felidae
Exons: 3
Source: RefSeq, a predicted model, not a curated record